CACGCCGUAAACGAUGAAUACUAGGUGUAGGGGGUAUCGACCCCUCCUGUGCCGGAGUUAACACAAUAAGUAUUCCACCUGGGGAGUACGGCCGCAAGGUUGAAACUCAAAGGAAUUGACGGGGGCCCGCACAAGCAGUGGAGUAUGUGGUUUAAUUCGACGCAACGCGAAGAACCUUACCAGGGCUUGACAUCGUCUGAUCGCCGUGGAGACACGGUUUUCCCUUCGGGGACAGAUAGACAGGUGG
Molecule: ribosomal RNA, 247 nt
Filed under: uncultured Bacillota bacterium
Lineage: Bacteria; Bacillati; Bacillota
Description: uncultured Firmicutes bacterium partial 16S ribosomal RNA
Rfam family: Bacterial small subunit ribosomal RNA
Source: RNAcentral